UGGGCUGAGCAAUAUGCGCUCCUGGUCCACCGAAAGGCGGGGAUAUACCCC
RNAcentral lists this non-coding RNA (51 nucleotides) under unclassified sequences. Its description in RNAcentral is "DUF3800-XI RNA". It matches the Rfam family "DUF3800-XI RNA". From Rfam's summary of the family: Actinobacteria, Firmicutes, Proteobacteria, Spirochaetes (1 example). Nearby to DUF3800 The record is from Rfam by way of RNAcentral.